AGCUCCAAAAGCGUAUAUUAAAGUUGUUGCGGUUAAAAAGCUCGUAGUUGGAUCUCGGCGAGUAGGACGUGGUUCGUUGUUUAACGGUACUGCUUCAUUUACUCGUGUUUUUGGCGGAGGUUCCAAGGUGCUCUUAAACAAGUGUCUUGGGGUGCCGUCAGGUUUACUUUGAAAAAAUUAGAGUGCUCAAAGCAGGCUUAACAAGCUUGAAUAUUCGUGCAUGGAAUAAUGGAAUAGGACGUCGUUUCUAUUUUGUUGGUUUUCGGAAAUCGACGUAAUGAUUAAUAGGGACAGUCGGGGGCAUUAGUAUUCAGACGACAGAGGUGAAAUUCUUGGACCGUCUGAAGACUAACUACUGCGAAAGCAUUUGCCAAGAAUGUUUUCAUUAAUCAAGAACGAA
RNAcentral lists this ribosomal RNA (400 nucleotides) under phytoplankton environmental sample. RNAcentral describes it as "partial small subunit ribosomal RNA". It matches the Rfam family "Eukaryotic small subunit ribosomal RNA", at positions 587 to 987 of the family's 1831-position model. The record is from RNAcentral.